GUGCCAGCUCACUACAACCUCCACUUCCCAGAUUCAAGUGAGUCCCCUGCCUCAGCCUCCCGAGUAUCUGCGACUACAGAUGGUUUCCUAGAAACAUGAUUGUUUAUUGGCGUUGAUCUCGCAGUCUGGUGAGAACUUCUUUACUGAUAAUGUCAAGUUCAGUUUAUCCUCCCAACCAAGGAGCAUUCAGCACAGAACAAAGUCGUUCUCCUCCUCACUCUGUAAAGUAUACGUUUCCCAGCACCCACCACCAGCAGGAUCCAGCAUUUGGAGGCAAACAUGAAGCUCCAUCCUCUCCAAUUUCGGGGCAACCAUGUGGAGAUGAUCAAAAUGCUUUACCUUCAAAACUUUCAAACGAAGAGUUAAUACAAAGUAUGGAUCGUGUAGAUUGAAAAAUUGCAAAAGUAGAACAGCAGAUCCUUAAACUGAAAAAGAAACAAGUAAAAGUCUUUGCCUAAUAUAUUCUAAGAAUGUAUGUUUUUCUCCCUACAGAAGAUAAUUUUGAGUUUUCCAUAUUUUGAAACUUUACAUAAAAGGAAUCAUGCCUUA
RNAcentral lists this long non-coding RNA (549 nucleotides) under Homo sapiens (human). Its description in RNAcentral is "HSALNT0402795". Lineage: Eukaryota; Metazoa; Chordata; Mammalia; Primates; Hominidae. The record is from RNAcentral.